AUUGGCGAAUAAAGCAAAGCGCCGCCCGGAGAGGCCGGGCGGCGUUCGACACGGGCU
RNAcentral lists this small RNA (57 nucleotides) under Sinorhizobium meliloti 2011. RNAcentral describes it as "putative ncRNA". The record is from RNAcentral. Lineage: Bacteria; Pseudomonadati; Pseudomonadota; Alphaproteobacteria; Hyphomicrobiales; Rhizobiaceae.